GUGUCAGCAGCCGCGGUAAUACGAAUCGUCCAAACGUUGUUCGGAUUUACUGGGUUUAAAGGGCGCGUAGGCGGUGCGCUAAGUCGGUGGUGAAAUACUUCGGCUCAACCGGAGAAUUGCCGCUGAAACUGGCGUGCUCGAGGGAGGUAGAGGUGCGUGGAACUUCCGGUGGAGCGGUGAAAUGCGUUGAUAUCGGAAGGAACACCUGUGGCGAAAGCGAUGCACUGGACCUCUUCUGACGCUGAGGCGCGAAAGCCAGGGGAGCGAACGGGAUUAGAUACCCCAGUAGUCC
Molecule: ribosomal RNA, 292 nt
Filed under: uncultured bacterium
Lineage: Bacteria
Description: partial 16S ribosomal RNA
Rfam family: Bacterial small subunit ribosomal RNA
Source: RNAcentral